AGCUAGUCAAAGGCGACUAAUUCAUGUGGAUAGAAAAAUAAUACAUGCCAAAAGAAAUUUGAGGAACAAAUUCAGCCCUGAGACAGGUCAAGGAAACAGCCCUCCAGUCUUCCUCAAGAAAUGUAGACUGAAUCAGCAUGUACCCUCCCCUGGAAGAACGCAGGAGCUGCGCAUUCCUGGGAUCUCAGCAGGGCUUUUGGGAAGAGCAGAACUGGGCUGGGGUCACGGUUUCCGGGCUGACUCUAGAUUUUCCCCGGCUUUUGUCACCUGUGAUGGCUGGAGAGUAUCUGAAGAUGACGGACCCUCUACUCCCAGCGACACAAGAUGGUUGGACCCACGGCUGAUUUACU
Molecule: long non-coding RNA, 350 nt
Filed under: Pongo abelii (Sumatran orangutan)
Lineage: Eukaryota; Metazoa; Chordata; Mammalia; Primates; Hominidae
Description: lincRNA
Source: RNAcentral